Molecule: ribosomal RNA, 2112 nt
Filed under: Salmonella enterica
Lineage: Bacteria; Pseudomonadati; Pseudomonadota; Gammaproteobacteria; Enterobacterales; Enterobacteriaceae
Also listed under: 1 other name
Description: partial 23S ribosomal RNA
Rfam family: Bacterial large subunit ribosomal RNA
Source: RNAcentral
AAUCCAUAGGUUAAUGAGGCGAACCGGGGGAACUGAAACAUCUAAGUACCCCGAGGAAAAGAAAUCAACCGAGAUUCCCCCAGUAGCGGCGAGCGAACGGGGAGGAGCCCAGAGCCUGAAUCAGCAUGUGUGUUAGUGGAAGCGUCUGGAAAGGCGCGCGAUACAGGGUGACAGCCCCGUACACAAAAGCGCAUGUGCUGUGAGCUCGAUGAGUAGGGCGGGACACGUGGUAUCCUGUCUGAAUAUGGGGGGACCAUCCUCCAAGGCUAAAUACUCCUGACUGACCGAUAGUGAACCAGUACCGUGAGGGAAAGGCGAAAAGAACCCCGGCGAGGGGAGUGAAAAAGAACCUGAAACCGUGUACGUACAAGCAGUGGGAGCACAGGUUUACCUGUGUGACUGCGUACCUUUUGUAUAAUGGGUCAGCGACUUAUAUUCUGUAGCAAGGUUAACCGUAUAGGGGAGCCGUAGGGAAACCGAGUCUUAACCGGGCGUUAAGUUGCAGGGUAUAGACCCGAAACCCGGUGAUCUAGCCAUGGGCAGGUUGAAGGUUGGGUAACACUAACUGGAGGACCGAACCGACUAAUGUUGAAAAAUUAGCGGAUGACCUGUGGCUGGGGGUGAAAGGCCAAUCAAACCGGGAGAUAGCUGGUUCUCCCCGAAAGCUAUUUAGGUAGCGCCUCGUGAAUUCAUCUCCGGGGGUAGAGCACUGUUUCGGCUAGGGGGCCAUCCCGGCUUACCAACCCGAUGCAAACUGCGAAUACCGGAGAAUGUUAUCACGGGAGACACACGGCGGGUGCUAACGUCCGUCGUGAAGAGGGAAACAACCCAGACCGCCAGCUAAGGUCCCAAAGUCAUGGUUAAGUGGGAAACGAUGUGGGAAGGCCCAGACAGCCAGGAUGUUGGCUUAGAAGCAGCCAUCAUUUAAAGAAAGCGUAAUAGCUCACUGGUCGAGUCGGCCUGCGCGGAAGAUGUAACGGGGCUAAACCAUGCACCGAAGCUGCGGCAGCGACGCUGAUGCGUUGUUGGGUAGGGGAGCGUUCUGUAAGCCUGUGAAGGUGGCCUGUGAGGGUUGCUGGAGGUAUCAGAAGUGCGAAUGCUGACAUAAGUAACGAUAAAGCGGGUGAAAAGCCCGCUCGCCGGAAGACCAAGGGUUCCUGUCCAACGUUAAUCGGGGCAGGGUGAGUCGACCCCUAAGGCGAGGCCGAAAGGCGUAGUCGAUGGGAAACGGGUUAAUAUUCCCGUACUUGGUGUUACUGCGAAGGGGGGACGGAGAAGGCUAUGUUGGCCGGGCGACGGUUGUCCCGGUUUAAGCGUGUAGGUGUGUGUUCCAGGUAAAUCCGGUUCACUUUAACACUGAGGCGUGAUGACGAGGCACUACGGUGCUGAAGCAACAAAUGCCCUGCUUCCAGGAAAAGCCUCUAAGCAUCAGGUAACAUCAAAUCGUACCCCAAACCGACACAGGUGGUCAGGUAGAGAAUACCAAGGCGCUUGAGAGAACUCGGGUGAAGGAACUAGGCAAAAUGGUGCCGUAACUUCGGGAGAAGGCACGCUGACACGUAGGUGAAGUGAUUUACUCAUGGAGCUGAAGUCAGUCGAAGAUACCAGCUGGCUGCAACUGUUUAUUAAAAACACAGCACUGUGCAAACACGAAAGUGGACGUAUACGGUGUGACGCCUGCCCGGUGCCGGAAGGUUAAUUGAUGGGGUCAGCGCAAGCGAAGCUCCUGAUCGAAGCCCCGGUAAACGGCGGCCGUAACUAUAACGGUCCUAAGGUAGCGAAAUUCCUUGUCGGGUAAGUUCCGACCUGCACGAAUGGCGUAAUGAUGGCCAGGCUGUCUCCACCCGAGACUCAGUGAAAUUGAACUCGCUGUGAAGAUGCAGUGUACCCGCGGCAAGACGGAAAGACCCCGUGAACCUUUACUAUAGCUUGACACUGAACAUUGAGCCUUGAUGUGUAGGAUAGGUGGGAGGCUUUGAAGCGUGGACGCCAGUCUGCAUGGAGCCGGCCUUGAAAUACCACCCUUUAAUGUUUGAUGUUCUAACGUGGACCCGUGAUCCGGGUUGCGGACAGUGUCUGGUGGGUAGUUUGACUGGGGCGGUCUCCUCCUAA